UGAUUAUAGUUAACGGCCCGAGCGAUUGAUUUCUCUGAUUCUUGGGCCCUAAACUACAAUUGUG
This 64-nucleotide microRNA precursor is filed under the name Euprymna scolopes. RNAcentral describes it as "Esc-Novel-57_pre stem-loop". The record is from RNAcentral. Lineage: Eukaryota; Metazoa; Mollusca; Cephalopoda; Sepiida; Sepiolidae.